This 370-nucleotide ribosomal RNA is filed under the name uncultured eukaryote. RNAcentral's name for it is "partial 18S ribosomal RNA". It matches the Rfam family "Eukaryotic small subunit ribosomal RNA", at positions 592 to 976 of the family's 1831-position model. The record is from RNAcentral.
CAAUAGCGUAUAUUAAAGUUGUUGCAGUUAAAAAGCUCGUAGUUGGAUUUCUGGUCGGAAGCUCCUGUCCUCUGAUGAGCGUACAAGUGCGUCCUACCAUCCUUCUGUUAACCCUUAAGGCUUUCGCGGCUUUCUAGGGGCUCAGAUAUUUUACCUUGAGAAAAUUAGAGUGUUUCAGGCAGGCUAGCGCCGGAAUACAUUAGCAUGGAAUAAUGGAAUAGGACUUUUGCCUCUUCUGUUGGUCAUGAGGCUCGAGUAAUGAUUAAUAGGGAUAGUUGGGGGCAUUAGUACUUAACUGUCAGAGGUGAAAUUCUCGGAUUUGUUAAAGACUAACUUAUGCGAAAGCAUUUGCCAAGGAUGUUUUCAUUAA